Long non-coding RNA from Equus caballus (horse), 1668 nucleotides. The record is from Ensembl. NCBI's taxonomy places the organism in Eukaryota, Metazoa, Chordata, Mammalia, Perissodactyla, Equidae.
CUGCUUCCGGUUUAAGACGGAGCCCAAAGUCCUUGUGAGUUUUCCCAGCCAGAGAGAUUUGGGCUUCCUAGUUUUGAACAGCAAUAUCGUCACGCCAGAUGUAACUCCCUUCUGGCAAAUGGGACGGCUAAUUGAUGAGCUCAGGACGGGAGGCCUCCUGCAGGAGACAGCGCAAAGAAAAGGAAAAUGCGCACGGCACACAGACAGUUAAGCCGGUGGGGAGGCCGCUCUCUGGCACCGAUGAUGGAAAACCUCGGCUGAAAAGAGAGACCCCCCUGCAGCAGUUUGAAGGCAAAGAGUAGCUGCUUGCUGCUUUUUAUUUUUAACUAUGAAGGAUCAAUUAGAGCCGUCAGAUCGUGUCGCCAGAGGUUCUGAUGUGAGCCUGCUGACUCAGGAGGAGAGUCAGACAGCACUCCCUCCCGGGGCCGCAAGACUUCUCCUUAAUUGGUUUGAAAAAUUGUGCUGGACGCCAGCAGCUGCUGCUCGGGCGGUCAGGAGCCAGGAGGGACAGGAAGGAUGACAGCCCAGCCUCUCGCCUUCCGAAGCCCCUCGCGUUUGUCCUUCUGCUCCUGAACCGCUCCUGCGUUCCUCGGGCGCCCUGACUGCACUGCCCGACGCUCCAGGCAUCUUGGGGGAGCAGGGCCCUGCGGGGACACUCACAGAUAAAAAUCUUAUUCAAACAAAAACUAACUGAAAUGCAUCCUACAGUGCCCUGCCCACUGGGCUUCAUGUCCUCCAUCCCCAGCUGACUCCUCUCCCAGGGCCCGGGGCUCCCCAGAGCACAGCUCGGAAAUCACCAGGCUGGACGUGCUGGAGGCCCCGUUAGGCUCUGACAGUCUGGGUCCUGUGGCGUGGGGAUUUCAGGAACGGCCCCAGGAGAGAAGAGAGCCCGCAGCAGGGCAGCCUGGUCCCUGCAGGUUGUCUCAGCAGCGGCAGAGGGCUGGGGGACAAGGAAGAUGCAGAUAGUGCUACCACCAACGGCAGCUGCUCAGGCUGCGGUGGCCCCGCGGCCUCACUUCCCUAAGAGCAGCUGGAGAGAACAGAGGGAUGGUCCCAACACCCGGCCCCCCUGGGAGGUGAGGUGCAAGAGGAAGCCACGUUCAGGUCUUUGCAUUUUUUUUUUUCAAUGCCAUAGAAAGUUAUUGGAAGGUUUUAAAUACAGCAUGAUCUGAUUGACACACUCAGAAGAUUUACAUGUUUAAAUGACUCCAGCAUUAAGUUGGAGAGUGGAUUGACAGGAUAAGCCUGGAAAGUUCAUUCACUAGUCUUACUGAGAGAUGAUGCGAUGUCUAACAGAACCGAAACCUUAUGUCCACACAAAAACGGGUACAGGAAUGUUCAUAGCAGCACUAUUCAUAAUAGCCCCGAAGUGGAGAGAACUCUAUUGUCCAUCAGCUGAAGAAAGGAUAAAUAAAUGUAGGAUAUCCAUACAGUGGGAUAUCAUUUGGCCGUAAAGGAAUAAAGUACUGGUACUGGUAUGCACUGCAAGAUGGAUGAACCUUGAAAACAUCAUGCUAAGUGAAAGAAGCCACUCACAAGAGACCACAGAUUAUAUGAUCCCAUUAUAUGAAAUGUCCAGAAGAGGCACGUCGACAGAGAUAGAAAGGAACUGGUCAUCAGGGAUAGGUGAGGAGGGUGAGUGGGGAGUGACGGCUAAUGGGUAUGGGG